GGCUACAUUCAACUCAUUUGCAUUGGAAAUUGAUAUUUGUUGAGAUUUGAUCUGCAUAAAACUUUAGCAACAUUCAAAUGAAGUGCCACUUAUAAGUAAACACUCAAAUGGAUACUACUAUUAUCACACAUUCAAAAUCCAACUGCAAGCUCGACAGAGCUUAAGUAGCCUAAAAUAUAAAAGAGAGUUGGGAGUUCCGAAAUUGAGGCCACUUCAACUCAAUUGCAUGUUAAAAGUCUAAAAUUUAGAUUCAUACAACGUAAACACAUGUCAACAUAACAAAGCUUCCAAUAGAUUUGUACUGCUUCCACAGCAUAAUACCAAGUUCCCUCGCAACCAGAAUGGUUCACUGAUUGCCUAGUGCAAGGUCAUGCCAAGUGUCUCCAUUAACUUGUUGAGUCUCUUGAUUUGAAUCUUCAGCAUCAUCAGUCCGAACAACCAGCACUGGCGGUAGAGGGAGAUCGUCAUCAGGUAAAGUGUCUCUCAUCCACUCCUCGUCCACGAUAUCAAUAAGAACACCCAGACUUAAUUCUGCCAUAUUUGCUCAGCACUUCAAUUAAUUACCUUUCAACAAUACACAAACAACACACAGAAGUUUAAGUAAUUAGUAAUAAUGUAAAAACUAGCGAUUCUAAUAUUCAGAUAAAAGAGUACAAUAAAUGUGACCCAACACAGCGAAAGACCCAAAUCAAGAGAAACGAAAAAUGAAGUAGUGAAGGAGAAGAAAAACUCCGCAAACUAGUAAAGUGUUGUUGGGGAAUUCUAUCGAACAAGUUGAACGUGUAAGUUGGGUAACACAAAAUCAUUUUUCCAAACAGCAGGAAACUUCUACCUUAUUCUCAAAGGAAAAGAUAAACAAAUAAAGGUAAAUAUUUUGACAAAUUGUACGAAUCUAAUGGCAGAAGAAGAAGAAAGAAGCAAAAAUACCCGGAUGGUUACUUGAAUUGAUCAGUUGGUGACCAGCAGGGACAAGGGCAGCUGCAGGCAAAUCAAAGACCCUGGAGCGUAAAAAUGGGGAUCAAUU
Molecule: unclassified non-coding RNA, 1024 nt
Filed under: Hevea brasiliensis (rubber tree)
Lineage: Eukaryota; Viridiplantae; Streptophyta; Magnoliopsida; Malpighiales; Euphorbiaceae
Source: RNAcentral